This 185-nucleotide small nuclear RNA is filed under the name Marchantia polymorpha subsp. ruderalis. RNAcentral describes it as "U4 spliceosomal RNA". It matches the Rfam family "U4 spliceosomal RNA". Rfam says of the family: U4 small nuclear RNA (U4 snRNA) is a component of the major U2-dependent spliceosome. The structure of U4 snRNA from yeast and human has been reported. The record is from Rfam by way of RNAcentral. Lineage: Eukaryota; Viridiplantae; Streptophyta; Marchantiopsida; Marchantiales; Marchantiaceae.
AUCUUUGCGCUUGGGGCAAUUACGCAGUUAGUGAGGUGAAAACCGAGACGCCUCAAUUGCUGGUUGAAAACUUUUUCCACAAUAUUUCCACACUUUUAUCAUAUCUGUUGUAAGUAUCUCCAGGAGCCUUGAUCUAAUAUUUAUCUGUAGUUGCCAGGAUUGAGGAUUUCUGAUCUUCAAUGGGA